RNAcentral lists this ribosomal RNA (671 nucleotides) under Bacillus sp. R57(2013). Its description in RNAcentral is "bacterial SSU rRNA". It matches the Rfam family "Bacterial small subunit ribosomal RNA", at positions 53 to 703 of the family's 1533-position model. The record is from RNAcentral. Lineage: Bacteria; Bacillati; Bacillota; Bacilli; Caryophanales; Bacillaceae.
ACAUGCAGUCGAGCGAAUGGAUUGAGAGCUUGCUCUCAAGCAAGUUAGCGGCGGACGGGUGUAGUAACACGUGGGUAACCUGCCCAUAAGACUGGGAUAACUCCGGGAAACCGGGGCUAAUACCGGAUAACAUUUUGAACUGCAUGGUUCGAAAUUGAAAGGCGGCUUCGGCUGUCACUUAUGGAUGGACCCGCGUCGCAUUAGCUAGUUGGUGAGGUAACGGCUCACCAAGGCAACGAUGCGUAGCCGACCUGAGAGGGUGAUCGGCCACACUGGGACUGAGACACGGCCCAGACUCCUACGGGAGGCAGCAGUAGGGAAUCUUCCGCAAUGGACGAAAGUCUGACGGAGCAACGCCGCGUGAGUGAUGAAGGCUUUCGGGUCGUAAAACUCUGUUGUUAGGGAAGAACAAGUGCUAGUUGAAUAAGCUGGCACCUUGACGGUACCUAACCAGAAAGCCACGGCUAACUACGUGCCAGCAGCCGCGGUAAUACGUAGGUGGCAAGCGUUAUCCGGAAUUAUUGGGCGUAAAGCGCGCGCAGGUGGUUUCUUAAGUCUGAUGUGAAAGCCCACGGCUCAACCGUGGAGGGUCAUUGGAGACUGGAAUACUUGAGUGCAGAAGAGGAAAGUGCAAUUCCAUGUGUAGCGGUGAAAUGCGUAGAGAUAUGGAG